GAUGUAGUUUAUCCAUUUAGCAUGUGUUUAUUUUUCCUUAUGUACUCAAGGUGAUUUAUUUGUUCAGCUCAAGGAUAUUACAGCUAAAAAACAUUCAUUAGCAAAAGGAGAAACAAUCUACAUCUAACAGAAAAAUCAAAAAUGUUUCUUAUUGGUUGAAUUGAAUGUUUGACUCUAACACUUUUCUUUAUACAAAACAUAGAUUCUCCAAAAAUAUUAUGCCAUAUGCUGACCAGAUCGCAUUAUUAAUUGAACAAGGAAGACAGAGAAGUAUAACUUUGACGGGCAAUGACAUUUCUCACAUAAUUACCCCAUUACCUAAAGACCAAUGGACUUACUUGGUACAAAUGACUGAAAUGCUACAAAUAGCGUUGGCUGAAUAUACUGGAAGUAUUUCCUAUCAUUUCCCCAAGGGCAAAUUAUGGGACAUGUUAAAACGUCAACAAUUUGUAAUCAAUAAUAUUAUUAGUAAAUAUCCUUUAGACAAUGUUGUUACUGUGUUUACUGAUGGAUCAAAAACUAAAAGUGCUUAU
RNAcentral lists this long non-coding RNA (533 nucleotides) under Marmota monax (woodchuck). The record is from RNAcentral. Lineage: Eukaryota; Metazoa; Chordata; Mammalia; Rodentia; Sciuridae.